Molecule: ribosomal RNA, 510 nt
Filed under: uncultured bacterium
Lineage: Bacteria
Description: bacterial SSU rRNA
Rfam family: Bacterial small subunit ribosomal RNA
Source: RNAcentral
GACAACGCUGGCGGCGUGCUUAACACAUGCAAGUCGAACGAGGUGUUUUGGGGGCGAACCCUCGGGAACAUCGAGUGGCGAACGGGUGAGUAACACGUGGGUAACCUACCCUAAAGACCGGGAUAACCCGUCGAAAGAUGGGCUAAUACCGGAUGUGGUCCCGGAGUGAAAUUCUCCGUGAUCAAAGGAUGGCAUAGGCUUGCAAGCUAUCGCUUUAGGAUGGGCCCGCGGCUGAUUAGCUAGUUGGUAGGGUAACGGCCUACCAAGGCGACUAUCAGUAGCCGGCCUGAGAGGGCGUACGGCCACACUGGAACUGAGACACGGUCCAGACUCCUACGGGAGGCAGCAGUGGGGAAUCUUCCACAAUGGGCGAAACCCUGACGCAGCAACGCCGCGUGAGUGAGGAAGGCCUUCGGGUCGUAAAGCUUUGUCAGAUGGGAAGAAAUGGGUGGGGGCUAAUAUCGCCCAUCCUUGACGGUACCAUCAGAGGAAGCACCGGCUAACUCCGUG